RNAcentral lists this transfer RNA (60 nucleotides) under Ooceraea biroi (clonal raider ant). It matches the Rfam family "tRNA", at positions 7 to 64 of the family's 71-position model. Rfam says of the family: Transfer RNA (tRNA) molecules are approximately 80 nucleotides in length. Their secondary structure includes four short double-helical elements and three loops (D, anti-codon, and T loops). Lineage: Eukaryota; Metazoa; Arthropoda; Insecta; Hymenoptera; Formicidae. The record is from Rfam by way of RNAcentral.
GUGGUCGAAUUGGUACGACGCCUGCCCGGUAUGUAGGAAGUUCCAGGUUCGAACCCUGGC